This 1028-nucleotide long non-coding RNA is filed under the name Crocodylus porosus (Australian saltwater crocodile). Its description in RNAcentral is "lncRNA (ENSCPRG00005018010.1)". The record is from RNAcentral. Lineage: Eukaryota; Metazoa; Chordata; Crocodylia; Crocodylidae.
AUGUACAUUUCUUAACCUCACAAAGUCUUUCAGUACAAUUAUACUUGUGAAAUAGGAAAGGGAAAAUACUAUUCCUGUUUUACAGAUGGGGAACUGAGGCACAGUGAGACUUUACCCAAGGUCACAGAGAAAAGCCACAGCAGGGGCAGAAAUCUUGGUUUCACAAAUUCUGCUCUAGUGCCCUAACUAUGAAACCAUCCUUGUUCUCUACAGAUAGGAGACUGCAAACUAUAAUUUGAAGUUCUUGGAGCUGCUGAUGGGAUGGCUUUUGAAGGAAACCCCUAAUUUUGAUACAGGCAGUCCUCAGACUUACGACACAAUUGGUUCCUGCAAACUGCAUCUUAAGUCGAAAGAUCGUCUUCCGCACCCCACUUUGGACAGCACUGACAUAUGGGAUUAUGAGUUAUCACCAUAAUGAGUUAACAUAGUAAUUAACCAUCUGCUAAUACAAGCAGAACCAGAAAAAUACAGGCCUCAAAUUUCCAAUGAAAACCAUGUAGGUGUCUUUCUGCUCAAGCAAGUGCAGCAGACACCAUCACAUAAAUACACCUGGCAGUGUGUUUGAACAUAAUUAGCUUCACAAAACACUACAGCAAUCUGUUCUAAUCAGCAAGGAAAACAUUAUUAGCUUUUCCUUCAUGGAUUAAGACUGAGUUACAUCAAACACCAGUUUUCAAUCUACGGACCACACACUCCAGGGCAGCAACACAAAGGACAAAACCCAGGAUGAACUGGGCAAAAGCUGAGGGAUAAAGCCAUCAUGGUUGCUGUGAUGCAAGGAGGGAGAGGCCUUCCAGAAGAGAUUAGACAAACGACAAGUCUCAGCUUUAGGAAAUGUUGCAAAACCUGUGCUUAAACCUUUCCACUAUAAUGCUAUACCUGUCACUCCUGCCCUUGACUAAAAGGCAUCAAGAGGAUUAACAAAACGACAGAAAAAAAAAAAGUGCCUCUCCCCUCCAGCCAGAAUUGUUACCUCAGAAAGAAGGAAGAGACAUAGACUCUACUAAGCCCAUAGGGAUCUUAACUAU